Molecule: long non-coding RNA, 1284 nt
Organism: Tetranychus urticae (two-spotted spider mite)
Lineage: Eukaryota; Metazoa; Arthropoda; Arachnida; Trombidiformes; Tetranychidae
Source: RefSeq, a predicted model, not a curated record
UCAGUCAAUGUUGUAUCAAGUUGAUUAUUUUUCGUCUGAUGAAACUAUCGUUUUAGAGCUUUCAUUAUUUUUAUAAUUAUCAUCACCAUCAUCUUCAAAAGUGAAAUUGAAAAUUAAAAAUCCAUCUACAGGUCAUCAGUUUAUCUAUUUAAUAAUAGAUUGCAAUUGAAUAUGAGUUUGAAUGUUCCCAUUAUUCAAGAAAUUCAUCAUCAUCAACAACAACAAUAAUCUAUUCAACAUCAAUUUGUAGAUUCUUUUUAAUCAAUCAAGCUGACUAUCGUUCCAAAUAUUUUGUUAUUUGUGAUCGUGUUUACAUACAAUAAUGAAUUGGAAUGGAAGUUGCGUUAAUCAGCCAUUGUUAACUCUUGUGUAAUUCGCUAACCAUAACAAUAAGGUGUUUAUCCUCAUCAUCGCUUUCUUGGUCCAUCUUCCUUUUCAGGUGAUGAUUGGAAGUUUGAAAGUGAUCACAAAUGUGUAAACAACCAACAAUGAUUGGAAAUUUUUACCAUUUUUUAUCAAAAAUGUGUCUUGCAGUUUGAGGAAUCUCACAAGCUGAUGACUAUUGUAACUUUCAAGCCUAAGUAAACAUCAAAAGGAAUCUGUCAUGAUCAUGAUCAUCUUUGAAUUUACUGUUGUUGCCAAUCGGAUGGAAAUGGGAAAAAGAAAAGCAAAAGAAAAGGUGAAAAAAGGAAGGAAAAGAGGUGGAGUGAAAUUGAAGAAAAACCUGGCUAAAGUUGGACAAUUAACCUAAAUGAUAAUGAGUAGAAAGAAGUCCAAAAAGUAAUCUCAACUUGACAGAAUUGAAGAGUGAUACAAAGAUGAAGAUGAAGAUGAGAUGGCGAAGAGGAGCAAAAAAAGAGAGAGUGAAGAUGAAAACUGGUCCACCGUGAAAUAAUUUUAAAGAUACUAUUAAUACAAGAUUUCCACUCUCAUCAUCAUAAUCGCAAUCAUCGUCAUGUCUGAAGAUAUCAAAAAGGCACAAGUUCCCCUUUUCCAGGUUCAAUUUUUGAUAAAUAUAACCUCAACCUUUAAUUUGUUGUCUGAUUUUGUUUGCGUUACCUCAACAAUUUAUUUAGUUAUCAGCAAUUCAAUUAAUGCCUCAAUCAAAAAUGACUUUGAAUCAAAUUAAGAUGGUCGCAUCUUGAACAACAGUUCAUUGUAAAUCAUCCAGCCAUACCACUCAAUUCAUAGACAUUCAAAUCAAGUAUGCCUCCAGCCUCAUAAAUAUUUAACAAUCAUUUGGAUUUUAAAUUCCAAAUAAAACUAAUUUAAGUUUACUGUCUA